Molecule: long non-coding RNA, 807 nt
Filed under: Struthio camelus australis
Lineage: Eukaryota; Metazoa; Chordata; Aves; Struthioniformes; Struthionidae
Description: lncRNA (ENSSCUG00000001115.1)
Source: RNAcentral
AGAGGAUAAUUUAACACCCUUUCAACGUAAGGAAAUCUGACACAGCAAACGGCCUCCAAGAUAUGCCCUUGUGUAAAAUGAUAUUUUAUUCAAGAAGAAAAUAGCUCUUCUGCAAUUUCAUAUUUUUCAAAAUGACGGUAACUGCUUGGCCUUUUUCUGCCAAAAUAACAUGAAAAAGAUUGAUUUCACUGAACAAAUUUUUCAAGUCUGAUAGAAAGCAACUCCUCACCUUUGUGUAUUUAUGAUACUUUAACCAGUCUGUGAAACACAUCCGACAGAGGUAUCUCAGAGGUAUUAAUUGGGCAGCCCAGCAAUACGCCACCUCGCUGCGCAGCUGUUUGGUCCCUGCAGCUAACAAGCUCCUUAUUCUACUGCUAAGAGAGCCAGUAACAACUGCAAUAUCCACACACAACAAACAUGGCAUUCUUAUUAGAGUCCGGAAUGUUUCUUUGGUAGACAGUAACUAUCCAUUUUCUUGCUUCCCCCGCCUCAGGUGUUUUUCCAGGUUGAGAGUCUUAGCUUUCUAAGUCAGGUUGUUGACCAGUGGUUACUGAAGUCUUAAUAUCUGUGUACAAGACUAGACUGAGGAAGUAUUUAUUUCCCAUGGGUCUGGAUAUGGAAAUAUUCUUGUCUAUGUAUGUAUCUGGUGCAAAAGACUAAUGAUUACAUUAUAGUGUGCAUUCUUGUGAAUAUCUGGUGAUAUAUCAAUUGUUAUAUCCUAACAUGAGCUCUACCUCUCUAAAUAAUGUGUAAGUUGCUUAUCUUUGAGGGUUAAUAAAUUAUUGCACCAUUUUGCCUUUCUUCCCA